UUACCUGCGGAGGGAUCAUU
This 20-nucleotide ribosomal RNA is filed under the name Verticillium dahliae. RNAcentral's name for it is "partial 18S ribosomal RNA". The record is from RNAcentral. Lineage: Eukaryota; Fungi; Ascomycota; Sordariomycetes; Glomerellales; Plectosphaerellaceae.